AAUAUUGGACAAUGGGGGCAACCCUGACCCAGCCAUGCCGCGUGUGUGAAGAAGGUCUUCGGAUUGUAAAGCACUGUAAGUUGGGAGGAAGGGCUUUAGGUUAAUACCCUGAAGUUUUGACGUUACCAACAGAACAAGCACCGGCUAACUUCGUGCCAGCAGCCGCGGUAAUACGAAGCGUGCAAGCGUUAAUCGGAAUUACUGGGCGUAACGCGCGCGUAGGUGGUUCGUUGAGUUGGGAGUGAAAGCCCCGGGCUUAACCUGGGAAUUGCUUUCAAAACUGACGAGCUAGAGUACGGUAGAGGGUAGUGGAAUUUCCUGUGUAGCGGUGAAAUGCGUAGAUAUAGGAAGGAGCAUCAGUGGCGAAGGCGACUACCUGGACUGAUACUGACACUGAGGUGCGAGAGCGUGGGGAGCGAAC
This 421-nucleotide ribosomal RNA is filed under the name uncultured bacterium. RNAcentral describes it as "partial 16S ribosomal RNA". It matches the Rfam family "Bacterial small subunit ribosomal RNA", at positions 360 to 773 of the family's 1533-position model. The record is from RNAcentral.